Gorilla gorilla gorilla (western lowland gorilla) is the source of this 794-nucleotide long non-coding RNA. RefSeq lists it as uncharacterized. The record is from RefSeq and is a predicted model, not a curated record. The transcript is spliced from 3 exons. NCBI's taxonomy places the organism in Eukaryota, Metazoa, Chordata, Mammalia, Primates, Hominidae.
GAAAAGUAUUGUGCAAGACCACACAGCGAGUGGAUAGUAGAGGGGUGCUUCAAACCAGCAGUGUUUGCCUCCAAGAUCUGCGUGAUUCCUCAAACUCCAGUCAGGUCUCCCUGGUCACCGCUGCUCCUUGCAGAGGUCUCAUCAAACGCCUGGUCUGCCUGCACCAUGCAGCCUGGAAGCCCCUGACCCAUCGCCAGCUCCUACCGUCACCCGUGAGGUCCAAUAUGGUGUCGUCCUCCCCUCGAUCAUCAGAAACCAUCGCUCUGUAAAUUCCCUUGUCCUUUUUGGACAACUGGAAAGAAGGAUGAGCGAUGGUGGUGUCAGCAUGGGCUCCAGAAGAAGAGAUGGAUACCAAAUCCGGAGGCCUGGGCUCCAGGCCUGCCCCUCAUUCUCUGUGUGACCUCAGGGCCUCACUUGCAUCAACCUAGCCUCAGCCCUGCCCUGACUCCCAGCCCAGAGCUCUUGGCCCUGCCUGGCUUGCAGCCAAAGGAGAAAGUGAGCCCUGAAGCUGGAGCCACACUUGCCUCUUCAAUGCAGAGAAGUCCCGUUCCCGUCUCUGGGUCAUACUGACCAUCUGACAUCUCUGCCCUCUGGAAGAACCACUGAAAGCGAGUCUCCUUCUUGGUGUUGGUCACCUGGGGAAGGUGGGGAAUGAGGAGACUCUGUCAGGCUUGUUUCUUUUUGAGUAAAAACACACCUGUGCACACUUUCAGGCAUCUCAGUGGAGUCCUUUCACGUACCAUAUGUCUCCUCUGCUGGCCUCUGGACUCUGAAUUCUUGCUAAUGGUUUUCCC